CGGAUGAAUUAGCUAACCAU
Molecule: small nuclear RNA, 20 nt
Filed under: Arabidopsis thaliana (thale cress)
Lineage: Eukaryota; Viridiplantae; Streptophyta; Magnoliopsida; Brassicales; Brassicaceae
Description: snRNA_05261
Source: RNAcentral